RNAcentral lists this long non-coding RNA (517 nucleotides) under Musa acuminata (dwarf banana). RNAcentral describes it as "long non-coding RNA (MACU_LNC002246)". The record is from RNAcentral. Lineage: Eukaryota; Viridiplantae; Streptophyta; Magnoliopsida; Zingiberales; Musaceae.
AAUACAUCAUAGUUCAAUAAUUUCCAAGUCUUUAAAUUGACUAAUGUAGCGAAUUUUGUAGAGGACGAAUAAUUAUGACAGAAUGCUUAAUCUGCUUUGGUGAAGUGCCGGACAGCAAAGGCUAAGCCCAAAAUCAUUAUGGGCACAAGGAACUGCAAAAUUCUGAUUACAAACUCUGAAGUUUUAUCUGGAUUGUAGGAUGCUUGCUGAGGUGGUAUGUAGGUGCGCGUUGUUGGAACUGUUGAAAGAUCUACCUGCCCAAUGUAGUACUUGGCCAUCAUAUCCCUGGCAGAAUUACUAUGACCUAUAUCCUCGAAAUCAUUGGUGGCAUCUUUUCCUGCAGAGAGAUUCAGAAGAGAAUUUUACUAUACUUUGUAAACAUAAAAGAACAUAAACUUCUGAAUUUUGACUGGUCUGAUUAUGAUUCCUUUCGAGUAAAGCAGAGAAAGCAUCCAACAAAAAUCGUAAUCACAAGGGGCAGCAAGUUACAAUACAAGGCAAGGGUCAAAAAGAAAAG